Molecule: long non-coding RNA, 149 nt
Organism: Gavialis gangeticus (Gharial)
Lineage: Eukaryota; Metazoa; Chordata; Crocodylia; Gavialidae
Exons: 3
Source: RefSeq, a predicted model, not a curated record
UUUUGUGACACUAAUGUGCAGUAGACCAAUUCUACUGUGCAUUAACGCAGUCACACGGUUUUUGCCUGCCACGCUAAUGUGCAGUAGAAUUAGUUUAGUGCACAUUUAUGGCUCGUGUAGAUGUGCCCAUUAUGACAAUGUGGUUUGCA